Molecule: non-coding RNA, 215 nt
Organism: Pelobates cultripes (western spadefoot toad)
Lineage: Eukaryota; Metazoa; Chordata; Amphibia; Anura; Pelobatidae
Source: the annotation of a GenBank genome assembly
AGCAAAACCCCAGGGAACAUUUAACAAAACGCUGAAAAGACCCAGCCAGCAAAGUCCAAGCACAGGUAAUAACACUGAACACCAGGAGGGGGCGUAGGAGCUCCCAGCUCAACCACAUUGGGAACAAUCCCAUCACUACUGACAGAAGCUUCAGACACAAUCAGUAGCUAUCAGUAGCAUACAGCAACAAGCUUCAAAAACGGGCUCAGACUGUG